RNAcentral lists this ribosomal RNA (400 nucleotides) under uncultured bacterium. RNAcentral describes it as "bacterial SSU rRNA". It matches the Rfam family "Bacterial small subunit ribosomal RNA", at positions 28 to 430 of the family's 1533-position model. The record is from RNAcentral.
GACGAACGCUGGCGGCGUGCUUAACACAUGCAAGUCGAACGGUGAAGGGAAGCUUGCUUCCCGGAUCAGUGGCGAACGGGUGAGUAACACGUGGGCAAUCUGCCCCAGACUUUGGGAUAACUACUCGAAAGAGUAGCUAAUACCGAAUAUUCAGCCUUGCAGGCAUCUGCGAGGCUGGAAAGUUUCUCGGUCUGGGAUGAGCCCGCGGCCUAUCAGCUAGUUGGUGAGGUAAUGGCUCACCAAGGCGACGACGGGUAGCCGGCCUGAGAGGGCGACCGGCCACACUGGGACUGAGACACGGCCCAGACUCCUACGGGAGGCAGCAGUGGGGAAUAUUGCGCAAUGGGCGAAAGCCUGACGCAACAACGCCGCGUUGCGGGAUGAAGGCCUGGUUGUAACG